Molecule: RNA transcript, 2083 nt
Organism: Thamnophis elegans (Western terrestrial garter snake)
Lineage: Eukaryota; Metazoa; Chordata; Lepidosauria; Squamata; Natricidae
Gene: SLC7A6OS
Gene name: solute carrier family 7 member 6 opposite strand
Exons: 7
Source: RefSeq, a predicted model, not a curated record
UUUUGACUUCCAAGUGUAGACAAAGCGGGCCAACUGGUUUUUGUUGUUGUUGUUGUUGUUUCUUCGUAAGUAACUAAUGAGGGUUAUUAUUAUUUUAUUUUUUUGUUAACUGCGUCGAAGUCCUCCAAGAAGGCAGGGCGAAAAAGCCGCCCCAUUGAAAUGAAUAACAUUUAAAAACUACUGCUCCCUGGAAGAACCGGAUAUCGUGCUAAGGAAUCAUUUAGACCUCGGCCCCUUCGAGGAAACGGCGAUGGCGUCAUCAAAUGGGGCCGAUAUCAGCUGCGAAUACGCCGAUGGACUGGCCGCGACGGCAGGCCAGACGACAGAAGUUCCCAUCGUCCCUCUCAGAGCGGCCUGGUCCGGUUGCCAUGGAGACAGCCGCCGUACUGCGCGUGAAGAGAAAGCGCGGAGGGUCUUUGCCGGCCGAAGCGCUGGUCCUUGCCAGCAAGCGCUUCCGCAGUGAGGCUGGGGCUGCCGCCGAGGCCGCCUCCUCGCCCGGAGAGGGCGAGGUGGAGAAGACUCUCUUCAAGUUGGUAGCCACUGUAAGCUCGGAGGCCGAACCUGUUGACAAAUAUGUACAAGAAGCUUUUACCCAUCAGAAAGGAGGCCAGAUCCUGCGACCUGCUCUAGGGAGUGCUCAAAGAAUAAUUCAGGAUCUUCGUUCUUCAAAGCACGCCAAAAGGCAGGAAAGCCGCUACCGCCUGAUCACUAGCCUCCGUCCAAAUAUCAGCAAUGGAGCAAAUGCUGCUCUUGGAGCAAAUGAGAAAGAAUCUGAUGAAAAGAAACAGUCUUCCGUGUCUGAGAAAGAAAAAAAUGACAGCACGUCUGGCUGCUAUAGAGACUUUCAGUUCUUUGAUAUUAUACAGGAGGAGCAGGUGGAAAAUGAUACAUCUGCUUCCCAUUUACAGAAAUCAGAUCCGGAUGUCAUCCUUUGCAAUGCCGUAGAGAUGAUUCGUGAACGUUUAACAGUAUCUGACAACAGUAAAGAAGCAGAGGAUUGCUUAAAUAAAGAAGAAUACGUUUAUGAUAUCUACUGUACGGAAACAGCUACACCGGGGUGGAUUGAGAACAUUCUCUCUGUACAACCUUACACUCAAGAGUUUGACUUGAUGGAUGAAGAGCACUUCACUGAAGAAACCUAUGACGAUGAAGAUGAUGAGAAUAACGAGAACAACUGGCGUAAUGACUAUCCAGAUGAAGAUGAGUUUUUUGAUGAAGGUGAAGAAUCAGAAAAAAAGAGUGGGGACACCAGUGAUGAAGACUGUGGAUACAUCAGACGAUCAUGGGAGGAGUAUGAAUCUGAAGUCCUGCAGGAGUUUGACUACGAUGGAGUCAAAGAACUGGAUUCCGAGUAGCUUGCAGGAUCUUUCGUAUUUGUGAAACCCCCAUGUACGAUGUGGCCUUAGCAAAUCGUGGCACCACAGCCCUAACUUGUCACCCUGUUUUUGGCCAGAGCAUCUUCAAGUCAAGAGAGAGCAGAUUGCCUUAGUGCGCAGCAUCUUCUAAAAUGAAGUGAUCCAAGUGACGUUUGCUAUUUUUGGACCUCAACCAUGGCAUGGUGCAAGAAAAGCCUGAAAUUGACAGUUUAACUGGCAUUUUGGCAGAAGCAAACUAGAGAAGCUGAUCUGUGCCAGCCCCUCGUUGGCUUUACCAUCACAGAAUUAUGGGUCCAAACUCUACAAUGUCUCUCAUAGAAUGGUACUUGGACUCUGCAAUUAUUGCAGCAUCCAUUUCCGUCAGAACACAAUCACAAAGUAACUGAGUGGAUCGAGUGACAGCACCUGGAGAAGGAGCAGAUUGGAGAUUCAGCCAUGGAAUUAUGAACGAUUACUUCAAAACCGAGUUGCUUGCUAAACCAAGAUGGGCAUCGUAUGCCUCAGAACAGAGGAUGCUUCUGUUUUUAUGCAUUUGCUGCAAAUCCAAUCAUCCAGUUUAAUUUUUACAUAAAUUGUGGAUGCUGCAAUUUUUUUCCUUUAGUAACAAUCUGUUGAGCAGAUAUUACAAUAGCCACAAUCACUCCAUGCACAGACAGAAACAUAUGACUAGUUUUUCUUUUUCUUUUCUUUUUUUCCUAAUUACUUGG